Molecule: non-coding RNA, 137 nt
Filed under: uncultured Collinsella sp.
Lineage: Bacteria; Bacillati; Actinomycetota; Coriobacteriia; Coriobacteriales; Coriobacteriaceae
Description: FMN riboswitch (RFN element)
Rfam family: FMN riboswitch aptamer (RFN element)
About the family: The RFN element is a highly conserved domain that is found frequently in the 5'-untranslated regions of prokaryotic mRNAs that encode for flavin mononucleotide (FMN) biosynthesis and transport proteins. This element is a metabolite-dependent riboswitch that directly binds FMN in the absence of proteins.
Source: RNAcentral
UUUCAGGGCGGGGCGCAAUUCCCCACCGGCGGUAAAUGCGCGGCGUAUUCCUCGCCAAGCGCAUGAGCCCGCGAGCCGCAAACAGCGGCCGACCCGGUGCGAUUCCGGGGCCGACGGUAUAGUCCGGAGUGAAGAAA